Acanthopagrus latus (yellowfin seabream) is the source of this 2430-nucleotide long non-coding RNA. RefSeq lists it as uncharacterized. The transcript has 3 exons. The record is from RefSeq and is a predicted model, not a curated record. Lineage: Eukaryota; Metazoa; Chordata; Actinopteri; Spariformes; Sparidae.
GUGCACAUGCUCCAGCUUGUCAUGAAUGGUGUUUAGUGUGUAAACCGGGCUGUAAACCGCACUUCUGUGCAGGUCCUGCGUUAGUUUGCACAAAUGUCGGGGCUACUAGAGGGCAACUUGAAUACAUGCUGGGGGUUUCUGAGCUGGUGUUGUCCUUGACGUUGCCUCGAUGAAAGCAUUGUCCUCACACAGGUGCCAGUGCCAUGCUCUGCUGGGAAAACUCUGGUGCUGAUGCCACUGAUGCUGAUGCCACCCUCACAUGCACCACCCACACGAAGAAUUUCACGGUGCUGACCUUGUCCACAAAUUCCACAGAUCUUGUUCCUAUCAAGCAUUCAUGAGACGUGUGGAAACAGGUCCGAUCAAUGAAGGCCUUCCCUCACAACCCAGGAAAGGACACCCUCAGAGGUCGUGUGUCCAUGCCUCUCACGCCUGUUUUGGUAGUAUGAAGGGGACCUAUACAUUAUUAGGCAGGUGUUAUUUUUGCUUUUUUAAAUCAUCGUUUUGGCCUUUCAUGGCUUCAAGCUUUAAGGGCAACAGGAAAUGGGAUGAUUUGGGACAUUUUUAGUCAUUUUUGAUUGAAAAUUACCAUAACAGUUAGACGAGUAUCCAAACAGGUGCAGGUUAUUUUGGUCACCGACUAACAUACCAACUUUGACAUCCCUUGAGCCAGGCCAUUAAGGAAAAAGUGAUGCAUUUAGCUAAGAUUGAUGUCAAAAUACCAAACUCAGAGGGACUCUCUGUGGACACACCUGAAGUUCAAUUUGAGUUUUCAUGUUUUAUCAUGCAGAUCCCCGUUUCAACAUCUGUCUGCGACUACACCCACAUCGACUUAGUUUGGACUAUCAUCGCGGCUUUACUGCAUUGCUGGGCUGAUAUUGCACUCUUUUCAGAAGUUGCUGAUGUACAUGUGACACAACAAUCUCCCGCCGGCGUUUUAUAAACCAGACCUGAAAGAAUCUUGCCGAGGGGGGUCGCACAGACAGACGCCAACAUAGGCCGGGCUUGCGGGGGGCCCAGUAGGAGGACAGUGGCGGAGGUCAGACAGAGGGGUCAGACGAUCUAAGCCUGUGCUGGGUCGGGGAUGCCCCUGGGAUAGGUGUUCAGACACAGGCCAUCCCGUGAGAACGAUCACACUGUGCUGCUCCCCUGGGACACACAGCCACGUACAUGUAUAAAGUCUGCCAAGUCAAGCAUCCUUAACUAUGUCUGUCGUUUUACACACACACACACACAUACACACACACACACACACACACACAGACAUUAUGCAAACACACAAAACAUUUGAAUGCAUGAAAAAAAGUCUGCCCCACAAUAUACAAACUAAGUAGAUGCAGUAGUGUGUGUGUGAAGAGAUACACAUGUAUGGAUUUGACAGUAACAUACACAGCCCAGGGGAGGUGGGAACUCGCCAUAAGGAAUCACUUAAUUAUUCUGGUGUGCCGGAGCACCACAUCCAUCACCAUGGCAACUACAGGUGUGACCUUAGAGUAGAGGACAUCGAGCAUGGAAGACAAAAUCCUGCGAUUUCGGUUUGGAAAUGAGAUGAAUAAUAUGCACACAUUUCAAAACACGUUUCAGAUGUUUACUUUUUUAUCCCCGUCUUUGAUUUACUGCCGAUGUGUUUGUGUCUAUAUGCUGCCCGGGCUGCAAGAGGGAUGAGAGUCAGCCAUAAUGACAUGUUUUUGCACUGUGGGCAGGAAGGACACAAUGUUCCUUAGGCAAAAAAGCAGGGUCAGAGCAAAGAAAGACACAAAUCCACUGACGUUUGCCAUUGAUGCCUCAAACUGAAACUGAAAAAUACUCAAAACUCAAGGAUUCAUCGGAAAAAAUAAUUUUGUGUAAAUAAUGAGAAAGACUCACGCACAAAAACACAGGCGUACACCCAGACACACCCUAUGACAAAGGAUUUUUUGUGUGUGGGUGUGUGUUUGUCUCCAAACACACACACAAAAACAAUAUACAGAUUCAGUCUCAGUGUAUGCAGCAUGAAUACAUGUUGAAAUACAAAAGACAGUCAUUUGACUGCAACAACCACACACUCCACCGAAGAUGGAAACAUUUCUAUUCAAAAGACAAACAGUCUGACCGGCCUGUCAUUGUGCAGCUUUAACCUGCCAUGGAAAACACACACAAAAUCCUAUUUAAGCAACAUGAUUCUCAUCAUUCCUGCCAAAAAGCAUUUGUGUCUCUUCGGUAACUACAUCACAACCCCCCUCUCGGUUACCUGCAGUGUCCCCCACGAGCGCAUGCUAUGCCCUGUUGUAAUUUUCAAUUUAUAUGCUCCCCAUUUCAUCGCAAUGUUGCCUGAACAUAAAGCGUUACCUUUUUGUCCAACUCUCUGAUGAGCUUCUCUCCAACACCUGGAGGAUUUUAAGAUGAUGGAUAGUAUUCAUUUAUCAUAUGUAGAAACUGCAAAGUGUUCAG